RNAcentral lists this transfer RNA (65 nucleotides) under Simocephalus sibiricus. RNAcentral describes it as "tRNA-Thr". Lineage: Eukaryota; Metazoa; Arthropoda; Branchiopoda; Diplostraca; Daphniidae. The record is from RNAcentral.
GUCUUAAUAGUUUAAAUAUAAAACUUUGGUCUUGUAAGUCAAGAAUAACAUAUUGUUUUAAGGCA